GGGGAAUUUUGGACAAUGGGCGAAAGCCUGAUCCAGCAAUGCCGCGUGUGUGAAGAAGGCCUUCGGGUUGUAAAGCACUUUUGUCCGGAAAGAAAUCCUCUGGGUUAAUACCUCGGGGGGAUGACGGUACCGGAAGAAUAAGCACCGGCUAACUACGUGCCAGCAGCCGCGGUAAUACGUAGGGUGCAAGCGUUAAUCGGAAUUACUGGGCGUAAAGCGUGCGCAGGCGGUUUUGUAAGACGGAUGUGAAAUCCCCGGGCUUAACCUGGGAACUGCAUUCGUGACUGCAAGGCUAGAGUAUGGCAGAGGGAGGUAGAAUUCCACGUGUAGCAGUGAAAUGCGUAGAGAUGUGGAGGAAUACCGAUGGCGAAGGCAGCCCCCUGGGCCAAUACUGACGCUCAUGCACGAAAGCGUGGGGAGCAAACA
RNAcentral lists this ribosomal RNA (426 nucleotides) under uncultured bacterium. RNAcentral's name for it is "bacterial SSU rRNA". It matches the Rfam family "Bacterial small subunit ribosomal RNA", at positions 356 to 774 of the family's 1533-position model. The record is from RNAcentral.